Molecule: long non-coding RNA, 2367 nt
Filed under: Homo sapiens (human)
Lineage: Eukaryota; Metazoa; Chordata; Mammalia; Primates; Hominidae
Description: non-protein coding lnc-EMB-4:2
Source: RNAcentral
CAUUGGCUGCAGGGCGCGCGGCGCAGCUGUUCUGAUUAUCAUAUUUCAGCCUCGCCGCCGCUGAGCGCCACUGACCGCUCGGCGAGCCAGCGGGAGAGGAUUAGGGCUCCCGAGGCAACUUGCUCGGGGCUCAGGCCGUUCUCCCCCGAAGCUCGGGCUGCCGGGCUGUUCUGGCUCUGGCCUCCCUCUCCUCCUCUUCCUCUUCCUUCUGUCCCCUCCCGCGUUCCUUCCCGGCCGCGCCGCCUGCGCCCUCGCCUCCUGUGGCGCUGCUCCUCCGCCCUGCGCUCCUGGGGUCCCCGCAGUCCGGCUGGCCGCGUUGCGCGCGGGGCUCACUUUCUGCCGCCGGUGGCGAGUGGCUGAACUCCUAAGUGACCAGGAACAGACGAUUUUUAACCGAGUUCUGCUGCGUGGAGCCCAGGUUGGCGCUAGUGAGUGCAGUGUGCUGACCCAAGUGGUGGUGGCCCAAGGACGCGCUGACCCGUACAUUUGGCAAAGCUUUCAUUAAAUGUAUCAGAUUCUCGCGGAAGUGGUUGCAGUCCGGAGAGUGAAACAGCUAUCUCUCAAGUCCUGACCGGUUCAGCUGAAAUCUACAUUUGCACUGAAUCUGGCAAAACACGGACGGGUCCGCCCGAGAUCUCAGGAAACCCAGAGCAAGUUACCUCCAUGUAGUUGAUCAUUCUUUCUGAAAGGACGGACACCAUUUACCCCACUGCAAUCCUGUCCAACGGGCAGCUCUGAGUUUAGCUUUAGCGCCAAAGGAUUGAUUUCCCCCACCCGCUGGAGAUUUACUGGGGACGAGCGGGGGAGGGGAGGCGAAGGUACCUCGGAGGAGGUCAAGUGGGGGAGGAGGAGGAGCAGCAGAAAAUUACCAGCCAAGCAGGGGAGGGAGUUGGAAGCCCGGAAAUAUACCAGGAUGCCUCAAGUAACCUUCCUUUAAGUCUCAGAAUUCAGCCCUCGGAAAACAGCCUCAUAAGGUGUCCUGGGAAGGAGUCCUCGGGUGGGCUGCGGAGGUGAUGUCAAGAGUUACAGCUACUUUAUGAAUUAAACUGACGGCUAAGGCAUGUCGGGACAGUUUAGUGUAAGCUGAAUGGUGCGUGGACGGGGCAACUUUUAAAGAGAGGUGGGCAAUCAUUGGUGGCAUCUACCAGUAUAUUCUGCAUGUAACAGUAGUUUGGAAGCUGAAGAAAAACCCCUCAAAUCCCAGUAAAUGCCCGGUCAGUUCGAGAGAGAUUUUAGGGACAAUUUUGAAGGUCGCUGUCUGCUCCAACUCCGCAGAGAUGAACAAGAGUGUGAACUCUGGCGCGGGUGUGUUUAGAAUUAUCUACGACUUCAGAUCCAUGCUGUUGAAACUCAUCAAUUCUUUGUGACUUCACGUGGAGAGAAGAAUUUGCCCUGCCUCCCUACCUGCUAAAUGCCGACUGAGAAAAGGGGCCCAGGAGACGACCCCUUUCAGAAAGAACGUCACUUCAUCAACUCGGCUGAGUUAUUAACUUGCUCCCCGAAAGGUCAACAACGCCUUCUCUUCUCAGCCGCACCGCGCGGAGAUCAAUCGCUUUACCCUAGGUAGCCUCUUGUUCAGGGCUCAGGAACUCCUGUCUUAAGGUCCUUCUGGGGCUCAGAAGCUGUGUUGUGUAUGUUCUUUCCAAGAAUCCCACCUGUCUGCUUUCAAGCACACACGGCGCUAGAAAUUUAGCCUAGCCUGAGUCCUGGGAUGAGAGAAGAGCUAAACAAAGAGACCCCAACCGUCCCCUUGGCCCCCUGCCCCGCCGUUUUGCAGUUUGCCAACCUUCUAGCUAGACAGCCCCCUAAGUCUCCGUGUUGCGAGUGAAAGAGAAUUUUUCUAUUUCAUCUUCCCAUUGACCGAAGCAGAAAAAUUGAACCGAAUCUACGCCCCUUGUUCUGAUUCCUGCUAGAGGAAAACAGAAAAUCAUCCCGCAGGUCUCUUUCAGUCCCUGGAUGGCGAGCGCAGCCCCUGGGAGGCCACACUUAGUUCUUUAUUGUGAAUCUCUCGCUACUCAAGUUCGUUCGGGACCAGGGCCUCGGAUGGCCUCGGUUGCCCGUAAGUACGCGAAAGAAGAGGUGAAUCCAAUCGCUGGCCUAGAGGAUAGUGAUCAGACAACCCGAGGAUUACUAAACAAGGGGCGGCGGUGUCCCUGUCUCAUGGGGUUGGCGUGGGGCGGGGGGUAGGCAGCAAGAUCCUCCAGGCUCCUGGAUGCAAAGAGUGAGAAAGAAAGCGCAGCCUCUGGCAGCCUGCUUAUAAAUGCAGCCUUUCGGAAGAUGAAACUUGCAGUCUUAGGUUGUCCUCCUUUAUAUCCAUGUUCCAAUCCUCUGGGCUUUCCUCGAAAUGAAUAAAAUUGUGGAAAUGAA